This 735-nucleotide ribosomal RNA is filed under the name Paenarthrobacter nicotinovorans. RNAcentral's name for it is "bacterial SSU rRNA". It matches the Rfam family "Bacterial small subunit ribosomal RNA", at positions 386 to 1133 of the family's 1533-position model. The record is from RNAcentral. Lineage: Bacteria; Bacillati; Actinomycetota; Actinomycetes; Micrococcales; Micrococcaceae.
AUGCAGCGACGCCGCGUGAGGGAUGACGGCCUUCGGGUUGUAAACCUCUUUCAGUAGGGAAGAAGCGUAAGUGACGGUACCUGCAGAAGAAGCGCCGGCUAACUACGUGCCAGCAGCCGCGGUAAUACGUAGGGCGCAAGCGUUAUCCGGAAUUAUUGGGCGUAAAGAGCUCGUAGGCGGUUUGUCGCGUCUGCUGUGAAAGACCGGGGCUCAACUCCGGUUCUGCAGUGGGUACGGGCAGACUAGAGUGCAGUAGGGGAGACUGGAAUUCCUGGUGUAGCGGUGAAAUGCGCAGAUAUCAGGAGGAACACCGAUGGCGAAGGCAGGUCUCUGGGCUGUAACUGACGCUGAGGAGCGAAAGCAUGGGGAGCGAACAGGAUUAGAUACCCUGGUAGUCCAUGCCGUAAACGUUGGGCACUAGGUGUGGGGGACAUUCCACGUUUUCCGCGCCGUAGCUAACGCAUUAAGUGCCCCGCCUGGGGAGUACGGCCGCAAGGCUAAAACUCAAAGGAAUUGACGGGGGCCCGCACAAGCGGCGGAGCAUGCGGAUUAAUUCGAUGCAACGCGAAGAACCUUACCAAGGCUUGACAUGAACCGGAAAGACCUGGAAACAGGUGCCCCGCUUGCGGUCGGUUUACAGGUGGUGCAUGGUUGUCGUCAGCUCGUGUCGUGAGAUGUUGGGUUAAGUCCCGCAACGAGCGCAACCCUCGUUCUAUGUUGCCAGCGGUUCGGCCG